UGCCAGCAGCCGCGGUAAUACAUAGGGGUCAAGCGUUGUCCGGAUUUAUUGGGCGUAAAGAGCUCGUAGGCGGCAGGGUAAGUCAGAUGUGAAAUCCCGGAGCUCAACUCCGGAACUGCAUUUGAUACUGCCCUGCUAGAGGGUCGGAGGGGAGUCUGGAAUUCUCGGUGUAGCAGUGAAAUGCGUAGAUAUCGAGAGGAACACUAGUGGCGAAGGCGAGACUCUGGACGACACCUGACGCUGAGAGACGAAGGCCAGGGUAGCGAAAAGGAUUAGAUA
This 279-nucleotide ribosomal RNA is filed under the name uncultured bacterium. Its description in RNAcentral is "partial 16S ribosomal RNA". It matches the Rfam family "Bacterial small subunit ribosomal RNA", at positions 506 to 784 of the family's 1533-position model. The record is from RNAcentral.